Molecule: long non-coding RNA, 602 nt
Organism: Mytilus californianus (California mussel)
Lineage: Eukaryota; Metazoa; Mollusca; Bivalvia; Mytilida; Mytilidae
Exons: 2
Source: RefSeq, a predicted model, not a curated record
UGUUUGUUCACUGUUGGUCACUUAAUGUAAGUGGGAAAAACUGAUUGGAUAAAGAUAUUAAACAGUCUUUAUAGUACAGGUGAAAUAGGAGACUCAUCUGAUUGUGGAGUUACAUGCAUACAGAUGCUGUUUUGAAUCAUAAGAAAUGACUGAUAUUAAUUAAUUUCUUCAGUUCCUCAUUAGCUUCUUCACAAGGAAUAAAUUGUGUAAGGAGUUCUAUAUUCCUAUUUAAAGACCUAACUUUUUUUUCCAUUUGAGUGUAUGAAAGCAAAUUAAUUGAAUUCAUUCUGAAUACUGAGCUUAUAUAGUUUUAUGUACUUGUAUAUGUGACUUUAUCUUUAUUUGACUUUUUAUUUAUAAGUUAUCUAAACAUUAAUAAUUUUAUUCUUUGUAUGAGAAGCUAUAAACAAUCGACUAUAUAUAUAUAUUUUUUUCUCGCCUGCGAUGAAAGUCCGGGAAAGUGAGACAUAAGGGUUCCUUUUCUGGCGACGAUGGCUCUGGCAUCAACAAUUGUUAAGUUUUCUGCUUAAGUUAGUAAGUUUGACAGGUAUUACUUGUGAUAGAUCAUUGAUAUUUAAUAUAAAGUUGUAUUACUAUCAGUA